Non-coding RNA from Triticum aestivum (bread wheat), 133 nucleotides. The record is from Rfam. NCBI's taxonomy places the organism in Eukaryota, Viridiplantae, Streptophyta, Magnoliopsida, Poales, Poaceae.
CAUACACUCCUUCUGUCCCAAAAUGAGUGUCGUAAAUAUGUUUAGAUAUGGAUGUAUAUAGAAAAACUAAGUCUAGAUACAUCCAUAUCUAGACAAAUCUGAGACACUUAUAUUGGGAUGGAGGAAGUAUAAC